This 1380-nucleotide ribosomal RNA is filed under the name Streptococcus thermophilus. RNAcentral describes it as "bacterial SSU rRNA". It matches the Rfam family "Bacterial small subunit ribosomal RNA", at positions 71 to 1438 of the family's 1533-position model. Lineage: Bacteria; Bacillati; Bacillota; Bacilli; Lactobacillales; Streptococcaceae. The record is from RNAcentral.
GAGAGGAGCUUGCUCUUCUUGGAUGAGUUGCGAACGGGUGAGUAACGCGUAGGUAACCUGCCUUGUAGCGGGGGAUAACUAUUGGAAACGAUAGCUAAUACCGCAUAACAAUGGAUGACACAUGUCAUUUAUUUGAAAGGGGCAAUUGCUCCACUACAAGAUGGACCUGCGUUGUAUUAGCUAGUAGGUGAGGUAAUGGCUCACCUAGGCGACGAUACAUAGCCGACCUGAGAGGGUGAUCGGCCACACUGGGACUGAGACACGGCCCAGACUCCUACGGGAGGCAGCAGUAGGGAAUCUUCGGCAAUGGGGGCAACCCUGACCGAGCAACGCCGCGUGAGUGAAGAAGGUUUUCGGAUCGUAAAGCUCUGUUGUAAGUCAAGAACGGGUGUGAGAGUGGAAAGUUCACACUGUGACGGUAGCUUACCAGAAAGGGACGGCUAACUACGUGCCAGCAGCCGCGGUAAUACGUAGGUCCCGAGCGUUGUCCGGAUUUAUUGGGCGUAAAGCGAGCGCAGGCGGUUUGAUAAGUCUGAAGUUAAAGGCUGUGGCUCAACCAUAGUUCGCUUUGGAAACUGUCAAACUUGAGUGCAGAAGGGGAGAGUGGAAUUCCAUGUGUAGCGGUGAAAUGCGUAGAUAUAUGGAGGAACACCGGUGGCGAAAGCGGCUCUCUGGUCUGUAACUGACGCUGAGGCUCGAAAGCGUGGGGAGCGAACAGGAUUAGAUACCCUGGUAGUCCACGCCGUAAACGAUGAGUGCUAGGUGUUGGAUCCUUUCCGGGAUUCAGUGCCGCAGCUAACGCAUUAAGCACUCCGCCUGGGGAGUACGACCGCAAGGUUGAAACUCAAAGGAAUUGACGGGGGCCCGCACAAGCGGUGGAGCAUGUGGUUUAAUUCGAAGCAACGCGAAGAACCUUACCAGGUCUUGACAUCCCGAUGCUAUUUCUAGAGAUAGAAAGUUACUUCGGUACAUCGGUGACAGGUGGUGCAUGGUUGUCGUCAGCUCGUGUCGUGAGAUGUUGGGUUAAGUCCCGCAACGAGCGCAACCCCUAUUGUUAGUUGCCAUCAUUCAGUUGGGCACUCUAGCGAGACUGCCGGUAAUAAACCGGAGGAAGGUGGGGAUGACGUCAAAUCAUCAUGCCCCUUAUGACCUGGGCUACACACGUGCUACAAUGGUUGGUACAACGAGUUGCGAGUCGGUGACGGCGAGCUAAUCUCUUAAAGCCAAUCUCAGUUCGGAUUGUAGGCUGCAACUCGCCUACAUGAAGUCGGAAUCGCUAGUAAUCGCGGAUCAGCACGCCGCGGUGAAUACGUUCCCGGGCCUUGUACACACCGCCCGUCACACCACGAGAGUUUGUAACACCCGAAGUCGGUGAGGUAA